This 90-nucleotide transfer RNA is filed under the name Alphaproteobacteria bacterium. RNAcentral's name for it is "tRNA-Ser". It matches the Rfam family "tRNA". Rfam says of the family: Transfer RNA (tRNA) molecules are approximately 80 nucleotides in length. Their secondary structure includes four short double-helical elements and three loops (D, anti-codon, and T loops). Further hydrogen bonds mediate the characteristic L-shaped molecular structure. tRNAs have two regions of fundamental functional importance: the anti-codon, which is responsible for specific mRNA codon recognition, and the 3' end, to which the tRNAs corresponding amino acid is attached (by aminoacyl-tRNA synthetases). tRNAs cope with the degeneracy of the genetic code in two manners: having more than one tRNA (with a specific anti-codon) for a particular amino acid; and 'wobble' base-pairing, i.e. permitting non-standard base-pairing at the 3rd anti-codon position. The record is from RNAcentral. Lineage: Bacteria; Pseudomonadati; Pseudomonadota; Alphaproteobacteria. RNAcentral also lists the same sequence under 4 other names.
GGACAGGUGUCAGAGUGGUCGAUUGUGCAUCCUUGGAAAGGAUGUGUUCUAGCAAUAGAACCGGGAGUUCGAAUCUCCCCCUGUCCGCCA